AACCAGGGGAUUAAGUUGUAUUAUUUGGUAAAAAGACAGUUAAAUAAAAUAAGGGGUUCAAUUGACUGUGUUAUUGAGAAGUAGAAUUCGAAAAUAAACAAAUAUACCUAACAAAACCUGUGUAUUGAAGCUGUGACAACUUUGAGGGAAACUAGGAUUAGAUACCCUAUUAUUCAUAGAAAUAAAUAAGGAUCAUUCUACCAGAGUACUAAGAAUAAAAAAUUUAAAACUCAAAGGGCUUGGCGGUGUUUUAGACUACUUAGGGGAACCUGUCUCAUAAUCGACAAUCCACGUUAGACCUAACCUUUUUUUGCAUUCAGUUUGUAUACCGUCGUCGCCAGGUAACUUUUAAGAUAUUAACAGUUAGCUAGCUAAAUAUUUAAAUUAAGACGUCAGAUCAAGGUGCAGCUAACAAGAAGGUGUGGAUGGGUUACAAUUACUAUACUUGUAAUAACGGAUAAAAGCCUUAAAGGUGAUUAAGAAGGAGGACUUAAAAGUAAAAUAAAUUAUAUAAACAUCUUGAAUAGAGCUCUGAAACGUGC
Molecule: ribosomal RNA, 542 nt
Filed under: Quasimitra cardinalis
Lineage: Eukaryota; Metazoa; Mollusca; Gastropoda; Neogastropoda; Mitridae
Description: partial 12S ribosomal RNA
Source: RNAcentral